Molecule: long non-coding RNA, 218 nt
Filed under: Mytilus galloprovincialis (Mediterranean mussel)
Lineage: Eukaryota; Metazoa; Mollusca; Bivalvia; Mytilida; Mytilidae
Source: RNAcentral
AUUGGCUAGAGGUAUAGAGGGAGGGUUGAGAUCUCAUAAACAUGUUUAACCCCGCCGCAAUUUUGCGCCUGUCCCAAGUCAGGAGCCUCUGGCCUUUGUUAGUCUUGUAUGAUUUUUAAUUUUAGUUUCUUGUGUAUAAUUCGGAGUUUAGUAUGACGUCCAUUAUCACUAUACUAGUAUACACAUUUUUAAGGGGCCAGCUGAAGGACGACUACGGG